GACGACGCUGGCGGCGUGGAUUAGGCAUGCAAGUCGGACGGUAGAGCUUUAUCGUAAGAUAGAGUUUGAGAGUGGCGAACGGGUGAGUAACACGUAGGAAUCUACCCUUAAGACGGGGACAACCCAGGGAAACUUGGGCUAAUACCGGAUGAGAGUGCGAGAGAUUGCAUUUAAAGGAUGGCGAAAGUUGUCGCUUAGGGAUGAGCCUGCGGUCUAUUAGUUAGUUGGUGGGGUAAAAGCCUACCAAGCCUUCGAUCUGUAGCCGGUCCGAGAGGACGACCAGCCACACUGGAACUGAGACACGGUCCAGACUCCUACGGGAGGCAGCAGUGGGGAAUUUUGGACAAUGGGCGCAAGCCUGAUCCAGCAAUGCCGCGUGCAGGAUGAAGGCCUUCGGGUUGUAAACUGCUUUUGUACGGAACGAAACGGUUCUUUCUAAUAAAGAGGGCUAAUGACGGUACCGUAAGAAUAAGCACCGGCUAACUACGUG
Molecule: ribosomal RNA, 490 nt
Filed under: uncultured bacterium
Lineage: Bacteria
Description: bacterial SSU rRNA
Rfam family: Bacterial small subunit ribosomal RNA
Source: RNAcentral